This 991-nucleotide unclassified non-coding RNA is filed under the name Hevea brasiliensis (rubber tree). The record is from RNAcentral. Lineage: Eukaryota; Viridiplantae; Streptophyta; Magnoliopsida; Malpighiales; Euphorbiaceae.
UGAACCCGCUAACUCGGGGAUGCGAUGCUGGCGAAUCGGGGAUACUUAAUGAACGCAUACUCCUGCUAGUCUUCGAGUCCGUAAAAUGGGACCUCCACGCUCUUUGCGCCAUGGCUUCUGUGAACCGCAAGCUCCGCGCCAUAGCCAAACGGUUGCUAUGGCGAGAGUUGUGUGUGUAUCGAGCACCGCGCAUGUUAGUAGCAUUGACAAACGGUGCGCCCAAUGCUCCCUUUGGAGACAGUUGGCAAGCGCUUGCCAAGCUCAUGUUCUACUGUUGCGGUUGUGAGUCAACUCAAAACUUCAAUGUGAGUCAACCCUCCCCAGGUCAUUUCGUCAAAACUUCUCGUUUUUCUAAAACGUCGGGUCGGAGCUUUCUAAGCAAGAAAUGCCAGGGGGAUUUAUUGUUCGUGAGCGACCCGUGUGAGCAUCCAACGCGAGACAAUGAAGAUGAUUUGGGGAUAUACAGGGGGGUUUUUCGAGGAUUUAUGAAAUCAAGAACGAGAGCGUGUUUAAUUAGACGGCAAGUAGAGCUAGAAAAGAGAGUGAGGUGCACUUACUGUGGGUUUCGCGUGUGGAGUAUGACUUCAGCUCGCCUGGUGCCUAAAAGCGCGGCUAGGCGGCUUGGGUCGCGCGAGGGUGGGUUGGAGUAUUUUGUUUGUUUAAAUGGCCACUUGUAUGGGACUUGUUGGCUUGUGCCGCUGUCGUCCGAUGAAGAUAAUGGUGUUGUUGCUGGUGAUUGCAGUCAUGAUGAUGAUGGUGCUGGUGACUAUGAUAAUCGGACGGUGGCGGAAGGCAGUUCGAGCUCGAUGGUUGAAGAGGUUGCAGAGCAAUGGACCACGAAUUGAUAGCAGCCAUGGCUUAAGGCCCAUAUUGAUAUUGUAAUAGGAGGGCCUGGUAGUGUUAGAUUGUGAUUAGGCUGACAUAAAUAUCCCCACUACAUAAAACGGAAAGAUGAAAUAUCCAUGUCAGCCUAAUCACAAUCUAACACUAC